This 498-nucleotide ribosomal RNA is filed under the name uncultured bacterium. RNAcentral describes it as "partial 16S ribosomal RNA". It matches the Rfam family "Bacterial small subunit ribosomal RNA", at positions 29 to 523 of the family's 1533-position model. The record is from RNAcentral.
AUUGAACGCUGGCGGCAUGCUUUACACAUGCAAGUCGAACGGUAACAGGCCGCAAGGUGCUGACGAGUGGCGAACGGGUGAGUAAUGCAUCGGAACGUGCCCAGUCGUGGGGGAUAACGCAGCGAAAGCUGUGCUAAUACCGCAUACGAUCUAUGGAUGAAAGCGGGGGAACGUAAGGCCUCGCGCGAUUGGAGCGGCCGAUGUGAGUUUAGGUAGUUGGUGGGGUAAAGGCACACCAAGCCAAGGAUCUGUAGCUGGUCUGAGAGGACGACCAGCCACAGUGGGACUGAGACACGGCCCAGACUCCUACGGGAGGCAGCAGUGGGGAAUUUUGGACAAUGGGCGCAAGCCCGAUCCAGCAAUGCCGCGUGCAGGAAGAAGGCCUUCGGGUUGUAAACUGCUUUUGUACGGAACGAAAAGGUUUGGGUUAAUACCCUGGGCCGAUGACGGUACCGUAAGAAUAAGCACCGGCUAACUACGUGCCAGCCGCCGCGGUAA